RNAcentral lists this ribosomal RNA (255 nucleotides) under uncultured bacterium. Its description in RNAcentral is "partial 16S ribosomal RNA". It matches the Rfam family "Bacterial small subunit ribosomal RNA", at positions 524 to 776 of the family's 1533-position model. The record is from RNAcentral.
UACAGAGGUCCCCAAGCGUUGUUCGGAUUCACUGGGCGUAAAGGGUGCGUAGGCGGUUGGGGUAAGUCUGAUGUGAAAUCUCACAGCUUAACUGUGAAACUGCAUUGGAUACUAUCCGGCUAGAGGAAUGGAGGGGAGACUGGGAAUACUUGGUGUAGCAGUGAAAUGCGUAGAUAUCAAGUGGAACACCAGUGGCGAAGGCGAGUCUCUGGACAUUUCCUGACGCUGAGGCACGAAGCCAGGGGAGCAAACGGG